This is an RNA transcript of Daphnia magna, 1305 nucleotides long. It is a transcript of the gene named persulfide dioxygenase ETHE1, mitochondrial, with no coding region annotated. The record is from RefSeq and is a predicted model, not a curated record. The transcript is spliced from 8 exons. NCBI's taxonomy places the organism in Eukaryota, Metazoa, Arthropoda, Branchiopoda, Diplostraca, Daphniidae.
AUUGAAACAUUUAAGAGAAAAAGUCAAAUCAUUUUUGACAAAUGUCUGUGUUAUUUGUUGGCAAAAUCUGUAAACAAACUGUUGUUUGGUACCCUCAGAUAAAGAGUCCUUUGUCCUUUGCUCAGGCUUUCCAUUUGCAUGCUAGGUCAUCCCUUGAUGCCAAACCAUUUGCUAGCAUGAUUAAGCAUAUUCGUUUAUCAGAAAAUUUCUUCUUUAAGCAGCUGUUUGAUAGGGUCAGCUGCACAUAUUCAUAUUUGCUUGCUGACACUGAAUCAAAAGAAGCUAUUCUUGUAGAUCCGGUAAUAGAUUUGGCUGAAAGAGAUGCAAAAAUUAUUGAUUACUUAGGAUUAAAGCUUAAGUAUUCAAUCAACACCCAUAUGCAUGCAGAUCACAUUACUGGUACAGGUGUAUUAAAAAAGCUUUUACCAGGCUCUCAGAGUGUGAUCAGCACAGCAAGCCAAGCUUUAGCUGAUAAACAUGUUGCACAUGGGGAUAUUCUUGAAUUUGGUAAUCAUAAGAUGGAAGUAAGAGCUACUCCAGGGCAUACAAAUGGUUGCGUUACCUACGUUUGCCAUGAACAAGGAAUCGCUUUCACUGGGGACACCUUACUUAUUCGGGGUUGCGGUCGCACCGAUUUUCAAGAAGGGAAUCCAGAAAGAUUGUACGAUUCGGUGCAUAACCAUAUCUUCUCCCUGCCAGAUAACUUUCGCUUAUUUCCAGCGCAUGAUUACAAUGGUAUUUUGGAUACGACUGUGUUGGAAGAGAAAAAGUUCAACCCACGGCUCACCAAAACUAAAGAAGAAUUUGUUGAGAUAAUGAACAAUUUAAAUCUUGCGUACCCAGCUCAAAUAGACAAAGCAUUGCCGGCAAACAAAGUUUGUGGAUUAUAUAAUUUACCUCCCGAAAUGGAAGAAAAAUACAAAUCAGUAUUGAAGCCUUAAUCUUCGAGAACAUCUUAUCUUGGUAGUGAACACUAGAAUUUUAUGUUAUCCGACUAUUUUCGUUUUCUUUAAAUUAUUCCUAUAUUAUAUACAUUCUUGGUGGAAGCAAUCAGUUAAUUUCGAAAAUUUCAUUGAAGAUGGCAGUGAUGACUCCUUCACAUUGUUAAUUGUCAGAUUUUCAUUUAAUUAGUCUAGUUUCAGACUAACAAGGGAAUGGACAAGAAGGAAGAACAAGCAUAAAAUUGUGUAAUUGGUUUUAAUAUGAGUGGUAGUACAAAACGCGAUUUUGGCCAAAUCCGGCUUUUGGCUAAAAACACGUUAUUUCCACUCCAAAUUUGGAAGAAAGAGAUUCUCAAAAAUCCCA